RNAcentral lists this ribosomal RNA (347 nucleotides) under uncultured bacterium. Its description in RNAcentral is "bacterial SSU rRNA". It matches the Rfam family "Bacterial small subunit ribosomal RNA", at positions 917 to 1267 of the family's 1533-position model. The record is from RNAcentral.
GGGCCCGCACAAGCGGUGGAGCAUGUGGUUUAAUUCGAUGAUACGCGAGGAACCUUACCAGGGCUUAAAUGUAGUGGGACAGGUCUAGAGAUAGACCCUUCUUCGGACUCAUUACAAGGUGCUGCAUGGUUGUCGUCAGCUCGUGCCGUGAGGUGUCAGGUUAAGUCCUAUAACGAGCGCAACCCCUACCGUUAGUUGCCAGCGAUUCAAGUCGGGGACUCUAACGGGACUGCCGGUGCAAACCGUGAGGAAGGUGGGGACGACGUCAAAUCAUCACGGCCCUUACGUCCUGGCUACACACGUGCUACAAUGGCCGGUACAGAGAGCAGCCACUUCGCAAGAAGGAG